Molecule: ribosomal RNA, 612 nt
Filed under: uncultured bacterium
Lineage: Bacteria
Description: bacterial SSU rRNA
Rfam family: Bacterial small subunit ribosomal RNA (bases 1-542)
Source: RNAcentral
CCUACGGGAGGCAGCAGUGGGGAAUUUUGGACAAUGGGCACAAGCCUGAUCCAGCAAUGCCGCGUGCAGGAUGAAGGCCUUCGGGUUGUAAACUGCUUUUGUACGGAACGAAACGGUGAGCUCUAAUACAGUUUGCUAAUGACGGUACCGUAAGAAUAAGCACCGGCUAACUACGUGCCAGCAGCCGCGGUAAUACGUAGGGUGCGAGCGUUAAUCGGAAUUACUGGGCGUAAAGCGUGCGCAGGCGGUGAUGUAAGACAGAUGUGAAAUGCCCGGGCUCAACCUGGGACCUGCAUUUGUGACUGCAUCGCUAGAGUACGGUAGAGGGGGAUGGAAUUCCGCGUGUAGCAGUGAAAUGCGUAGAUAUGCGGAGGAACACCGAUGGCGAAGGCAAUCCCCUGGACCUGUACUGACGCUCAUGCACGAAAGCGUGGGGAGCAAACAGGAUUAGAUACCCUGGUAGUCCACGCCCUAAACGAUGUCAACUGGUUGUUGGGUCUUCACUGACUCAGUAACGAAGCUAACGCGUGAAGUUGACCGCCUUGGGGAGUACGCGCGAGUUAGAGUUAAGAGUUAGAGNGNGAGAGNGCGAGGCGACGACGAGGGAGGAGG